RNAcentral lists this ribosomal RNA (498 nucleotides) under uncultured bacterium. RNAcentral's name for it is "bacterial SSU rRNA". It matches the Rfam family "Bacterial small subunit ribosomal RNA", at positions 899 to 1397 of the family's 1533-position model. The record is from RNAcentral.
ACUCAAAUGAAUUGACGGGGGCCCGCACAAGCAGCGGAGCAUGUGGUUUAAUUCGAAGCAACGCGAAGAACCUUACCAGGUCUUGACAUCCAUUUAAGCUCUAGGAGACUAGAGGUGCGCUUGCGCGAAAUGAGACAGGUGGUGCAUGGUUGUCGUCAGCUCGUGUCGUGAGAUGUUGGGUUAAGUCCCGCAACGAGCGCAACCCUUAUGUUUAGUUACUAACGCGUAGAGGCGAGGACUCUAGACAGACUGCCGGGGACAACUCGGAGGAAGGUGGGGACGACGUCAAAUCAUCAUGCCCCUUAUGACCUGGGCUACACACGUGCUACAAUGGCCACUACAGCGAGGCGCGAAGCCGCGAGGCGGAGGGAAUCUCGAAAAAGUGGUCUCAGUUCGGAUUGUGGGCUGCAACCCGCCCACAUGAAGUCGGAGUUGCUAGUAAUCGCGGAUCAGCAUGCCGCGGUGAAUACGUUCCCGGGCCUUGCACACACCGCCCGU